CGGCCACCCGGAGCCUCGUCACGAGUCUUACCCAGGGUUCGGAGCGGGCCUGCAAGAAGGGGCAGGCCAGGCUGGGGCUGCAAGGCAGGGUCUUCCCUUGGAGAAGGGACCUGACUCUAUUAUUAAGAGAACGAAAGAGGCACUUGCCCUACAGUGUUGUGUGCAUAGUGGAUGUGCAGCCAGCAUUGGCUCAUGUGUGAAGGAGCAUACACUCCUGGAAAGUCUGAGCAUGUCCAUACGCAUCAUCUCACUGGGCCCCUGCAGCUCACUGAAAGAAGAGGCAGACGCCUGCCCCAACUGCCCAGAGCCCUACUGGCUGAGCGGAUCCCUAAUGUCCUUAGUUAAGCUCUCACCCUGCAUGACUGUUUUCCUCAGAAGAAGGCACUAGUGGGGACACCUUUUCCUGGGGUCUCUAUGCAGGGAAUGGGCUGGAUGUGUACAGACCUGGCCACCAUGCCUUUGGGGGCUGGUGUCACGGCCAGGCCAUGACUCUAAAGAAUGAGGGGGGCUGGGUGAGGUGGCUCACGCCUGUAAUCCCGGCACUUUGGGAGGCCUAGGCAAGUGAUCCACUUUAAAAGUCAACUUUAAAGUGAUUAAAGUGAUCCAGUUUAAAGGUCAAGAGUUCGAGACCAGCCUGGCCAACAUGGUGAAACCCCGUCUCUACUAAAAAUACAAAAAAUUAGCUGGGUGUGGUGUCACAUGCCUGUAGUCCCAACGACUCGGGAGGCUGAGACAGGAGAACUGCUUGAAUCCGGAAGGCGGAGGUUGCAGUGAGCCGAGAUCAUGCCGCUGCACUCAAGCCUGGGCAACAACAGCAAUACUCUGUCAAAAAAAAAAAAAAAGAAAAAAAGACUGAGGUGGAAGGAGGGCUUCCUUAGGAAAAGUGGCCUGCUGAGAGGAUGAGGGGUGCAGAACGCCACUGUGCUAGAGCCUGUCCUGUUUGGAUUCCCCCAGAAGCCGGCCGUGAUGAUGUGGGUGCUUACUAGUUUGGGAUGUGAUGGCAGGAAGCGCUAGCAGUGAGUGGGGCUGAGGCAGCGGAUGGGGACACUAUUAGGCCAUUUGCUCCUAUCAGGGGUGGCCUUCAGUCUCCCUGUGAGGCUCCAAGAGGCUAUCUAGAGCAUUCCUGAGUUAUCCACACCUGGGGAAAGGAAGUUGGGCCAUAUAUUUAACAUUCAUCAUGGGCCGAGGGCUGCUUUCAGAGGCUGUAAGUGUCACGCACUCCUGGCCUAUCCUGAGAAUGAACUGAGGAUGCUGCAAUGCCCAGAAAAAGGUCUUAGGAGAGACCCCUAACAACGUGAAAGGUCACUGGGUGGUUUGCUCGUCUUCUGAAAAAUACAUACCUGUCAUCGGUUAUUUGCUGAUCUUUUGUAAAUGGUUGAUCUUUUCUUUCUGUUGCUUCCAACUUCCCUGGUAACAUGUCUAUUGCAGAUUUCUUUUUAUUUAUCCCUUUUUAGGGCCAACUGCCUCCUGGAUCUGAGGCUUAGCACCUUCAAAUAAUUGUAGAAUAUCUCAGGCUUUAUCUCUUCAAAUUUUGCUUUUUCUUCAUUUCCCUAUUAUUCCUUCUUGGAAUCUAGUUAUGUUAAAUCUUCUCAAUCUCCCUUCCAUGACUCUCCCUCUUCAAAAUAUAUUUUUAAAUCUUUUUGAUUUAUUGUUUGGUUGGAUUCUGCAUAAUUUCUUCAGAUAUAUCUUAUAUUUCCUCAGUUAUUUUUUUGUGGCAGCUUUUCUGCUGUCCAUUGAGUUUUUAACUUCAAUUACUAUAUAAUUCAUUUUUAGAAGGGUUGUUCGUCUAUCUGUUCCCCCUUCAAGUCUGCCUGUUAAUUUUUAUAGUGUCUUUUUAAUUGUUCAUAUUUCUAAGUCUCUCUUUUAUUUCUUUAAACCCUUUAAACUUACUUCACAUUCUGUGUCUGAUCCGAAGUCUGGGUCUGAUUCUGCCUUUUCUCUUGGUUCUCUGUCAUAUUAUUUCCUUGUGAGUUUUGACAUUUUUUUCACAGUAAGCUGACCAAUUUCCUUGAACUUUAUCUGUUGGAAUUUCUUGAAGCUUUAUGACUUCCUUCAUUUGAAUUCAUUUCUUCUAGUCUUCUAGGGGCUCUACCCAUCUGGCAUCACUUUUUAAAUUUAAAAUUUAUCCACUGGGCGCAGUGGCUCACGCCUGUAAUCCCAGCACUUUGGGAGGCCGAGGCAGGAGGAUCACCUGAGGUCAGGAGUUUGAGACCAGCCUGGUCAACAUGGUGAAACCCCAUGUCUACUACAAAUACAAAAAGUAGCUGGGCCUGGUG
RNAcentral lists this long non-coding RNA (2276 nucleotides) under Homo sapiens (human). Its description in RNAcentral is "HSALNT0039841". The record is from RNAcentral. Lineage: Eukaryota; Metazoa; Chordata; Mammalia; Primates; Hominidae.